ACGCUGGCGGCAGGCCUAACACAUGCAAGUCGAGCGGAAACGACACUAACAAUCCUUCGGGUGCGUUAAUGGGCGUCGAGCGGCGGACGGGUGAGUAAUGCCUAGGAAAUUGCCUUGAUGUGGGGGAUAACCAUUGGAAACGAUGGCUAAUACCGCAUAAUGCCUACGGGCCAAAGAGGGGGACCUUCGGGCCUCUCGCGUCAAGAUAUGCCUAGGUGGGAUUAGCUAGUUGGUGAGGUAAUGGCUCACCAAGGCGACGAUCCCUAGCUGGUCUGAGAGGAUGAUCAGCCACACUGGAACUGAGACACGGUCCAGACUCCUACGGGAGGCAGCAGUGGGGAAUAUUGCACAAUGGGCGAAAGCCUGAUGCAGCCAUGCCGCGUGUAUGAAGAAGGCCUUCGGGUUGUAAAGUACUUUCAGUUGUGAGGAAGGGGGUAUAGUUAAUAGCKGCAUCUCUUGACGUUAGCAACAGAAGAAGCACCGGCUAACUCCGUGCCAGCAGCCGCGGUAAUACGGAGGGUGCGAGCGUUAAUCGGAAUUACUGGGCGUAAAGCGCAUGCAGGUGGUUCAUUAAGUCAGAUGUGAAAGCCCGGGGCUCAACCUCGGAACUGCAUUUGAAACUGGUGAACUAGAGUACUGUAGAGGGGGGUAGAAUUUCAGGUGUAGCGGUGAAAUGCGUAGAGAUCUGAAGGAAUACCAGUGGCGAAGGCGGCCCCCUGGACA
RNAcentral lists this ribosomal RNA (723 nucleotides) under Vibrio sp. 13C10. RNAcentral describes it as "bacterial SSU rRNA". It matches the Rfam family "Bacterial small subunit ribosomal RNA", at positions 33 to 735 of the family's 1533-position model. The record is from RNAcentral. Lineage: Bacteria; Pseudomonadati; Pseudomonadota; Gammaproteobacteria; Vibrionales; Vibrionaceae.